UGGGGAAUAUUGCGCAAUGGGGGGAACCCUGACGCAGCAACGCCGCGUGAAGGAGGAAGGUUUUCGGAUUGUAAACUUCUUUGAUGAGGGACGAAAAGAUGACGGUACCUCGAAAACAAGCCACGGCUAACUACGUGCCAGCAGCCGCGGUAAUACGUAGGUGGCAAGCGUUGUCCGGAUUUACUGGGUGUAAAGGGCGCGUAGGCGGGAUGAUAAGUCAGAUGUGAAAUCUCCAGGCUUAACCUGGAAGCUGCAUUUGAAACUGUUGUUCUUGAGUAUCGGAGAGGCAAGUGGAAUUCCUAGUGUAGCGGUGAAAUGCGUAGAGAUUGGGAGGAACACCAGUGGCGAAGGCGGCUUUCUGGACGAUAACUGACGCUGAGGCGCGAAAGCGUGGGUAGCAAACAGG
Molecule: ribosomal RNA, 406 nt
Filed under: uncultured prokaryote
Also listed under: 1 other name
Description: bacterial SSU rRNA
Rfam family: Bacterial small subunit ribosomal RNA
Source: RNAcentral